AAAAAUUAAAAAGUAAAAGCAAAUACGUCAACUACUAAUUAGUCUAAACUAUUACAUGUGAAUCUAUAUUCACAUCAAAUCUUCUCUACUUUGACUUCGAUGGUCGGAGAAAAUUUCUUUCUCUUAUUUUUGCUUCCAUAAAUUUUUUCAAUGUGCAAUCAUCAUCAUCGCUUGUUAUGUCAAUAUAAUCAUCAAGAACUUUUUUUGUGAUUUUUCGUUUCCCCCCUUCCUUGCACUUCAUGAGGCUGCACUUGUAACUCUGUCGCUCUAGUUUGCUUGGUCUUUUUAGUUGUUUUUUUUUAUUUCUCCCACUUCAUUUGACAUGGCCUUCUUGACUAUUUUUUUCUUUCCAUUUUUUUGUUUUGUCUUGGGUGCAUUCUUAACUAUUUCUUCCCUUGCUUCUUCAUGAUCUUUUGAUUCUUCAAUUAAUGGUACCAUCGAUUUCAUUACAGCAUUCAUCGGGUCACAUUCUAUCUUUUGGAUUGCACUUGCUAUAAGAUUUAGCUUUCCCCUAUCAU
RNAcentral lists this long non-coding RNA (518 nucleotides) under Salvia miltiorrhiza (redroot sage). RNAcentral describes it as "long non-coding RNA (SMIL_LNC000123)". Lineage: Eukaryota; Viridiplantae; Streptophyta; Magnoliopsida; Lamiales; Lamiaceae. The record is from RNAcentral.